This 380-nucleotide unclassified non-coding RNA is filed under the name Hevea brasiliensis (rubber tree). The record is from RNAcentral. Lineage: Eukaryota; Viridiplantae; Streptophyta; Magnoliopsida; Malpighiales; Euphorbiaceae.
CUUACAUAUGUUUGUGAUCCAGUAAUGGGUGAUGAAGGGAAGCUUUAUGUUCCACCUGAGCUAGUAGCUGUAUAUCGUGAGAAGGUUGUUCCAGUGGCUUCAAUGUUGACCCCCAACCAGUUUGAAGCUGAAAAUUUGACUGGGUUAAGAAUUGUGACUGAAAAAGAUGGUCUUGAAGCUUGUAAUAUUCUUCAUGCUGCUGGACCUUCGAAGGUUGUAAUUACCAGCAUCAAUAUAGAUGACAAUCUUCUUCUCAUUGGCAGUCAUGAAAAGGAAAAGGGCCAAUAUCCUGAACGAUUCAAGAUUGUGAUACCCAAAAUCCCUGCAUAUUUUACGGGAACUGGAGAUCUUAUGACUGCACUUCUGCUUGGAUGGAGUAA